UGUUAACAUUCAAGAUAUAAUCAAAAAUUGAUUGAUUUUUGAGUUUUUUUUUUAUAUUUCUUUUGAGUGUUGAAGAUACUGAAAGUAAAGAGGUCUUAUAAAAAAAAAAUUGUCUAAGGCCCAUUACUAUAGAGUCAAUCCUAUCCAAAAAAUAAUGGCACAUGGAGACUGAAAGGGAUAAAAGAAGUAUUUGAAAUGUAUUAUAUGAAUUUAAUUAUUUUAUCUUUUAUUUACUUGUCUUUUAUGUAAUUUAUAAAAUUUAUAUUUAUGCCGAUAUUGAUACCAAAUUUUAGUCACGACAUUAUAUAUUCUUUCUAUCAAUAACCAUUUAAUGGCUCAACCAAUUUAUUUAUUGUGAUUAAUGGAACUGUAUGCCACAAUAAUUGCGCACAGCCAACUCAUGUACAUGUGUAACAUAAUUUAUAGACGUUCACUAGGACAAAUAAUUUAGGUAGAGACGAGAAAAUUGUUUUCUAAUAACAAAAUACUUUAAAUAAUUUAGUACCUUAAAUGAUGUUAUAUGGCCGGGUCAUUGGGUUUACAUGUGAUACUAUGUGACAUAAGCUAAAUAUGUUUUAUGUGUUUCAAAUGCUAUUGUUUUGUUAAAAGGAUGUAAAUGGCUUUAUGAUGAUGUGAUUUAUUUUAGCUAAAUGAUAAUUUACAAAGGUUAUUUCUCUUAUUGUUAUGUAUAUCUAAGAAGUUUUAUUAAAUUAUAUUAUAAUAGUUUUUAGUAUUGUGCAUAAAUUUACUUACCGAGUUGACGGCUCACCUUUUAUUAUAGACUUAGAUGAUGUGAGCUCAUGGUCUUAGGAGGGAGAAUAAGAGCUCUGUUUAUUUUGGGGAUUGUUGUUACGUUGAUAAUUUAAGAAUAAUUUAACUUCCUUUAGAGGUUCAGAACAUUUAUUGUUAGUUACUACUUUGAAAGUCUUAAAUAUGAGAAUAAUGAAAUGCAGUUUUACUUCAAUUCUAUCAUAGUGUCUUGUUAGUGGGAUUGGGGUGUUACAAUAUGGCUCAUCGCUUCUAGGCAGAAGUCGGCUUUCCAGCAUGAAAACUUUAGGGAAUAGAGUUCGUGUAAUGCAAUUAUCACACGUAAAUUUUUCUGUUAAAUAGCUGUAAGUUACAUUUAUAAAGUCUUGUUCAGUAUUAGAUGUGUGGCUUAAGAACUACUAUUAUCAUUAAAAAAAAAGUUGUAAUUAUAAAUAAAAAAUUAAUAAUACAAUAAAUAUAAUUUUACCAUUAAAAAUUAAAAACUACACCUAGCUGAGUACAGUAUCGAACAGACUCUAAUAAGUCUUGUCUCCCACAAAGUUUUUUGUUUUGGUCAAAUAUAGAUUCUAUAAGUUCUCGGUGGCAAAAACUUUAAUUUUUCGGUUACAUCAUAAAUUGCAUUAAAUGCAUAAAUAGUUCAGUUGAAGGAAGCCAACUGCCAAUAAUAAUAGGUUGUUCCCAGCUAACAUCCAACCCGUCAUCCAAAUUUAAUAAUUUCUUACUUAAAUGUCUCUGACACCUUAAUCAAAGCGCGGGUAUCGAACGAAGCGGGCAAUAAUCAAAUCAAACGAUUUCCAAAUUCACCAGAAAUGUAAAAAGAAAACAAAGCGAGUUCUCAUGUUCUUAAAUAUCACAUGGGUUACACGUGUUGUUCUGAUGAAGAUUUGGUGUCACCUGUACAUUUGUUUCAACGUACAGACAUCAACAUAAGAUAAGCAUUCAAUCCUACUCACUUUCUUUCACCUAACAUUUUCUCCAAAUUCAUUCAACAAUUGUGGUGGAGAUUGGUGCGGCGGUAAACCUACCUACCGCACUACAAAUGCCAUGCAAAUACAGAGUACAAUAUAUCGAUUGCAAAAUAGCGAUGGGAGAUUGCCAAUUUUUUUUCGACUGAAAUUUAAUUUCCGACGUUAUAAUUUUGCAGUACUACUUUAUUCUAAAUAAACUUUUAUUCGUAUUUCUUAAAAAUUACAUAAAUCGAAUAUGUUGAAAUUAAAAUAAAAAAUGUUAAAUACUAAAAAUAAGAAAAAUUAUUAUUUUUAUUUUCUAUUUUUUCUAAAGGUGAGACUAUUUGCACUUUAAGAAUUACUCUAAACACUCUUUUAUUUUAUAAAUUUUAUAUUACAAAAACACCCAUAGUUUAAUUUACCAUUAAGGACAAUUUUGUGUGAUUAAAUAAAUACAUUAUUCUUUAGCCUUUCGUUAAAUCAGCAUAAACUCUUACUUUAUGUUUCUAAUUUCUUUGAUAUGCUUCUUGAAGUCCCCAUUAUAAUCAAUUUUAAACUAUUAUACUACUUAAAUACAUUUUACAAUGAGAAGUUUGGUUUUCUUCAUGGGUUGCCCUACUGGUGCUGUUCUUGAAACUAUCGAACUUAAUAAUUUUAUGGCCAAAUAAUAUACGUUGAAUCAACUUUUACCUCGAAUUCUACCACAAUAAAAAUCAUACUUGUAAUAUCUCAAGGUUCCAAUUUAUCAAAAGUUAAUAUUUCAUAUUUGUUAGUUCCUAACAGUCACAAGAGCAUACCAGCCAAUUUUUGUAGCACCUUUUUCUGCAGUAGGUUCAAGUAUAUUAUUAUCAAGCGGUUUUUUACACACUUAAUCCCUUAUCAUCGUCCCUUCAUUUAGAGCAACUAAACAGAGGUCAAUGCCAUUGUGUCAGAGUUACGAGGAAGAGUAUUGUCGAAUAAGUUCUUGAUAUGGAAUUUAAUUUUCCGAGUUUGUAGUGAUGAGCAAAUUGAGGGUUAUUUUGGCAUUUUUAAGAGUGUAUUGAGUAAAAUUAUUUUUAAAAAAUUUAACAAGUGAGUGUUAUAAGUAAAAGUGUGUUCAAAGUAUUUUUUAGAGUGUAAAUAGACUCAUCUUAUUAAAAAAAUAUAAAAUUUAGGUACCCAAAUUAAAUUUUGACACAAUUCAACCCGGAUAUCUAUGCAUUCAAGUCGGGUCUGAUCAUUGCGAUACCCGGACCCGCCCCGGGUUUUGCUAACCCUAGCAAAGACUAAGAAAGUAAGAAUGGGUAUCACCGACAAAUUCAUCUAAUCGCUGGUAAAAAGUCGUUGGUUUUCACGUGCUCCAUUCGACUUAUGGCACAUGAAAAAUGAAGCCCUUUUCAAAAAAAAAAAUGAAGCCAAGUGGGGCCGAAGAGGAAAAAGAUACGUACGACGUACUAUUACACUAGUUUGUCUUCAGUUUCACGUGCUCCAUAAUUUAAAGUGUUAAUAUUCUUCUUCUCUUCUAUAAAAAUGACACCGCCAUAUUUAAAAUCUAUUAAUUUAUCUUAAAGUCUUGAGCGUUUAUGUCGUGUGUAUAUGAAUUUGGAUUUCAUGCUUAUUUAAGUUGUCUUCAUUUUUUAAAGAUCUGCUUAAGGAAAAAAAAAAACAUUUACUACUAAACCACAUUGAUGUUUUCAUUAUACUCCACGGAUGUUUUGGUUAUAGAUUAAAGUAGGGAAAAUCUCCGGUUUACCAUUCGCCUUCUCAGAAAAAAAUCAUAUUCUUAAAAAAAAUUUGAUGCUCAACAAAUCUAUUAUCAGAACUAUUUCCAUAAAUUCACUUUUUAAGAAAUUUUAUGUUUCAUGAGGUGUAAUACGAUUAAUUAAUACAUGAAUAAUGUGCGUAAUUGAAUUGAAUAUAACCACUAAUUACGUAUUGAUUUUUUAAAAUAAAAAUACACAUAUUAUAAUAUUAUACGCUUAUUAUUUGACUAACAUAGUGGCUGGGACGUAUUCUAAAAUUUUUUUAAUUGUGAUAUUAAAAUUAAUAAUUAAAAUUUAUUAAUCAAUUAGCUCAUUAAAUGAACUAGCAAUAUGGUCGACAUCAUUUCUCAGGUCAUAGUACGGGGAUUUUGCCCUUCGUUAGUCAUAUUUUCUCAAUUUAUAAAGAAUAAUUCUAAUUGGCAGAUCAACAGAUUUCAUUAUCUUCCUUCCAAUUUGAAAAAAAAUAUAUUACAUGGACAAAUUUUGCCCUUAAAUUACCUCUUACCUCUUUUACCAUCUGUUCUAAUAAAUUGAAAGAAUCAAUCGGCCAAUCUGUCAACCUACUAUAUUUGCGUUAGCUUUCCUUUUCAAACAAUUUAACCAUCUCUAAACUUCCAAACUCAAUCAAAUCAAAUGAACAAUUCCAAUUUCCUAAUUCGUGUUGUUCUAGUUAUGAGUGAUUGGGUUACGAUUCGUUCGAUUUGGAGAAUUCAAUCGAAUUAAAAUUCUAAUUGUGAACUUGAAAUAAUCCAGUUUGUUUUGAAUUAAAAUUUCAAAUUAUUAAAUAUAUGUACCAAAAGUAUAAGUACAGAAAAUAAAUAAAUAAAUAAAAUACAAAAAAAAAGAUAAAUAAAAAAGAAUGGAAAAAAACAACUCCACAAUAUCAGUAAAUAGCACCAUGAGGUCAUCAAGACCACCAUCAUUCAUCCCCUUUUCUCCAUCUUUCUUAAUCUCUGAGGACCACUGAAUUUGUAAAUUUGUACAAUUUCUAGUUAAAAAAAUAAUAAUAAUCGCAUUACUCAUUUUCAAUCCAUGAAACAAAUUCAUAAAAUUGUUUGUCUGCCUAGUCAUUGCGAAGGACCACCUCAUGCGUAAUGCAUCUCCCCGGACCACUAAACUUGGUACACACACCAUACAGUUCUGGCUAUUUCACGUGCGUCCAAGGACCAAAUGUAUAUUUUAUAAAAUAUUUUUUUAUGUCAUUGUACAUUUGCUUUGUUUAAUUUGGAAGGAUUUGAUUUUUAAAAAGACAGACGCCUACAGAAGGGCUUUCAUUCAAUUCAAUUCCUAUUAGUCCAGUAAUUAAAAAAUAAUUGAGUGGAAGUAAUUAAAAAUUAUCAGAAUUAUCACGCAAUUACACUUUGGUAAACUGUUCAUACCAGUCAAAGUCACAUCAUUCACUUUGUCACUUUCGUUUUGUUUUCUUUUUGUUAUGUAAAUUGUGAAAGGAAAGUUUUGAUUGGCAAAGCAUUUAAUUUAGGGUCCAGCGACUAUAUCCAUGGGUUUGAUACCCAUUCUCUUGUCAUUUUCAAAAUCCACCGUUGAAUUUAACUUAAGGGUUGUAUAAUGGCUAAAUGUGAUUAUUGGGUCAUUAAUGUUAAAAGUCGUUGUUCAUGUAAAAUAAGAAAAAUUAAAAAUUUUACGAUCAUGACAUAUAA
RNAcentral lists this long non-coding RNA (5115 nucleotides) under Citrus x clementina. RNAcentral's name for it is "Citrus clementina (C. clementina) long non-coding RNA (CCLE_LNC005216)". The record is from RNAcentral. Lineage: Eukaryota; Viridiplantae; Streptophyta; Magnoliopsida; Sapindales; Rutaceae.